RNAcentral lists this unclassified non-coding RNA (342 nucleotides) under Melicope rubra. Its description in RNAcentral is "contains 5' external transcribed spacer, ETS". The record is from RNAcentral. Lineage: Eukaryota; Viridiplantae; Streptophyta; Magnoliopsida; Sapindales; Rutaceae.
UGGAUGGUUGUGGUUGGCAGGCUCCGUGCUCGUGCAUCGAACUGUUGACGCUCCAUCUGCUUCAAUCUUUCCCCAAGUGAAGCUCCUUCCUUGUGGGUUCGCGUCAUUAUCCUGUGUUGCUUACCACUGAAAUGGAAUUUGAUAGUCUUGUUACGCGGAUUCGCCUUGUGCUCUUUGGGGUGCGAGGUKKACAUGCGGCGAGCACUGUGAUYCCAACAUSCCAAGUGCAUUGGUGUUUGGUUGUUGYGGCYUNUUGUGUYUUCGCUUGUUCUNUCGGAUGCSGAAAGCUAAGUGUGGGCAUGAGGUCUUKACCUUGAAUCGUCCAAGCACUGUCUUUUGACU